RNAcentral lists this transfer RNA (66 nucleotides) under Metallyticus splendidus. RNAcentral describes it as "tRNA-Asp". The record is from RNAcentral. RNAcentral also lists the same sequence under 1 other name. Lineage: Eukaryota; Metazoa; Arthropoda; Insecta; Mantodea; Metallyticidae.
UAAGAAUUAGUUAAUUUUAUAACAUAAGUAUGUCAUGCUUAAAUAAUUAAUAAAUAAUAUUCUUAU